Molecule: ribosomal RNA, 417 nt
Filed under: uncultured bacterium
Lineage: Bacteria
Description: partial 16S ribosomal RNA
Rfam family: Bacterial small subunit ribosomal RNA
Source: RNAcentral
AAUAUUGGUCAAUGGGCGGAAGCCUGAACCAGCCAUGCCGCGUGCAGGAGGACUGCCCUCUGGGUUGUAAACUGCUUUUAUACGCGAAUAACCGUUCCGACUUGUCGGGAUCUGAUUGUAGCUUAGGAAUAAGGAUCGGCUAACUCCGUGCCAGCAGCCGCGGUAAUACGGAGGAUCCGAGCGUUAUCCGGAUUUAUUGGGUUUAAAGGGUGCGUAGGCGGCACAUUAAGUCAGGGGUGAAAUUCGGCAGCUCAACUGUCGGCGUGCCUUUGAUACUGGUGUGCUUGAAUUGGUUCGAGGUCGGCGGAAUGUGACAAGUAGCGGUGAAAUGCAUAGAUAUGUCACAGAACUCCAAUUGCGAAGGCAGCUGACCAGGUCCAUAUUGACGCUGAUGCACGAAAGCGUGGGUAUCGAACA